Molecule: ribosomal RNA, 370 nt
Filed under: Enterobacter cloacae
Lineage: Bacteria; Pseudomonadati; Pseudomonadota; Gammaproteobacteria; Enterobacterales; Enterobacteriaceae
Description: bacterial SSU rRNA
Rfam family: Bacterial small subunit ribosomal RNA
Source: RNAcentral
CACCUACGGGUGGCUGCAGUCGGGAAUUUUGCGCAAUGGACGAAAGUCUGACGCAGCAACGCCGCGUGAGGGAUGAAGGCCUUCGGGUUGUAAACCUCUUUUGUCAGGGACGAUGAUGACGGUACCUGACGAAUAAGCCACGGCUAACUACGUGCCAGCAGCCGCGGUAAUACGUAGGUGGCAAGCGUUGUCCGGAUUUACUGGGCGUAAAGAGCGCGCAGGCGGUCGUUCAAGUCGCGUGUGAAAGCCCCCGGCUCAACUGGGGAGGGUCACGCGAUACUGAUCGACUCGAAGGCAGGAGAGGGUAGUGGAAUUCCCGGUGUAGUGGUGAAAUGCGUAGAUAUCGGGAGGAACACCAGUGGCGAAGGCG